Molecule: long non-coding RNA, 2339 nt
Filed under: Malus domestica (apple)
Lineage: Eukaryota; Viridiplantae; Streptophyta; Magnoliopsida; Rosales; Rosaceae
Description: long non-coding RNA (MDOM_LNC005014)
Source: RNAcentral
CUAAAAAUUUGGGGGAUUUUUAUCUCGAUUUUUUUGGUACAACAUUGAGUCUUUAGCUUUGUAAAUGCUUUAAAUGUGUGAUUAAUUGAUGGGAAGAUUAGAAAAAGGAGAAGGGAGUACAAAGUUAUGAAUUGGGUCUAAUUUGGAUAUGGGAUUUUAGUGAGAUAUAUCAUAUCGCGGUAGAGCCCCUAGGGAACUAUUCACCUUGGGAGUGGUCGGAUGAGUGACUAAGUCCGAACAAAAAGACUUAUUCAUUUUUUGGACACAUGGCUUUGAACCCACUUUUUGGUUUUUGAUCUGAGCUUUGAACCCAUCUUAAACAGCACUCAUGCCUAAACAGCUGAAAAUGCUUAGUCACGAUCUAAUAAUAAGAUACAUUGCAAAAUCUACUUUACACAUCAGAAAGAAGAGCCGAUAAACGAUAGACCAAACAUUACAAAGCUAAUAACUCUUUUAAUAUUGAUUAAAAGAGCAAAAAAAUACAACGUACUGAACAAAGUUAAACAUAGAAGAUUAACUACUUAAAGUACCCUAGAAGGCUAGAACCCUCCCUAAACCCCAUUUAUCCCCUAAACUUAGAUUAGUCUUCCUUCCAUAUCCACAUUACUUAGAUUACACAACACUAAACAUACCAUCCCCAAAUGCACUGAUACUAGAACAAGGCUACAAGUUCCAUCCCUUCCUACACCAAAUUGCCCAUGUGCUGUCAUUGAUGCUGUCAUUCCCCACAAAGCUUCACUUCACAUAAUGUGGCACCCAUUUUUAUUUUCAUCACUGAACAACGUGAAGUAAUCCGAUGGCGGUGGUGAAUAAUACGGUGGUAAUAUGGUCAAACCCAAUGAAGGUGGCGGUGCACUGGCUAAAAAGAAGAUUGAAGGAAUAGAAGAAAUAGUGUAAGAAGGGGACAAGGAAUGCGCUGUGGCAGAGACAAUUUUUACUGGCUUGGAAAAUCUGAAUUUUCUUUGUUAGUAUUUAUGUUAGAAAAUUGUUCAUGGUAAGCAGUUGAUUGGAAGUCCGAAUUGAGCUCUUACAGAUUAUUGAACUCUAAUAAUCUGUUAGUACAAUGCCAAGCACUCCAAUACUCCAAAUACUUGUAUACUUUAAUGUCGAAGUAUGCAGGACAGCCUCUAGAGCUUUGAAUCUUAGUUAUAUACAAUGGGAAUUAAGGUUUUUAAUUUUGAAGGUUAAUUUUGAUCGGUGGUAAAGCGCAUUGUGAAUAGUCAAAUACAACCUCGUUUGUAUAUUAACUUUACUGUAUAUCUUUAUUUUCUUAUGAUUUUUUCUUAUCUGGAUGCCAAAAUACUUGGAUUUGGCUUUUAUAUGGAACAGUUGAUACAUCGAUUUAUACUAGAUUGAGAAAUCUGGCGAACUCAUGGAAUUGCUUAAGCUUAUAGGGCAUUUCUUAAUUAGACAUUAUGUUGAAUACAAGUUGUUUUCAUAAGGUAGAUAGAGUUCUAAUGCAAAGCUUCUAUAGCAACAGUGGUUUUACAUGGGCACUUUACGUGAUGUGUAAAAUUGCAACUAAAAAUGUAAUAUUUGAAGAAACUAAGCAAUAAAAAGGCAGACUUAUUCCUCCUCCAGCCUCCUGUUUUCUGCGCAUUCUACCUUUUGCAUGUCGCUUAUUUUUCAUUGGUCAUAUCAAACGUACUGUAAUGUUUUGGGAUCAAAAGAGAAAUCGUACUAGGAUAUAUCUGGCAUACAGCGUAUUUGUAUUAGUAGUUAGUUUAUGUUAGUCCUUAGUUAUGUUCAUUCCCUCUAUUUGCUAUAUGGUAUUUCCACUUUUGUGAUCUAUUAUGCAUGCUAUUCAGGGCCUUUGUUAUUUUGUUUGGAUGUGCAGUGAGAUUACUCCUGAAGGAAGACGUAUAACCAAGCUUGAUCAGAUUUUACUCAAUGGAAACAAUAUUGCCAUUGUAAGUUAAACAUGGGUGUUCUUUAUUUGCCUGGAUGAAAUAAUUGAAUUUCCGGUGAAUAUGCAAGUGAUUGUUAGGUUUUCUUUGUCAAGUAUAGUACUACACUUUUUGUAGCCUUUUUCUUUUCUCGCCUUAUAUUUGACAACCUACUCUUGUAACUAUUUCUGCAAGCUCAUGGUUUCUACUUGGCCUUUUCAAUAGAAGCUAGAGCCAGCAUAAAACAUAGAUGAAAGAUUUCAAACUGUUGUUAUAAAUUGUCUAAUGGUUUGUGCACAACGUCAAUGCAGCUGGUCCCUGGCGGCUCACCUGAAGCGGAAUGAGAGGGAACUCCGCACUCCGUUAUUGAAUGUUUGCAUUACCUAUGGUUCAGGGGAGAUCGUUUAUCUUUUUCAUCGAGAACUGGGCCCCCCUGGAUGCCCUUUAUUUGCU